CAGUUCUCCCAAAAUGCUGAAUGCAAAGAUUAUUGCAUUCAUCUUGUGUGCAGCCUGGAUUUGGAAAUGACUGCUCACACUCUCAGCUCUGUCCCAUCAUCAGCUGAUUGCCUGUAAUCAUAAAACACACGUCUGAUUAAUGAUUAAUCUGCACACCAUUCAAAGGCUCAUUUCUUUACAGUUCUAUCCUACUUUUGUUUUUUAAUGCUAAAGGGCUGCAUAGAUUUAGUGAAUAAUGGAAACCUUACCAAAAGAAAGUAACAGAAGCAGUAAAACGGCGGAGAAGGAGAAGGAGAAGCUCCUCAUGGCUUCAAUUUGUUUUGUCUGUGGCAGUGCGUUGGUUCAAGACUACAGGGACCGUAUGGUUUCUGCUAUUUAAAAGAAGUUGAGAAUGUAAGAUUCAUUGCUUGGAAUUCUAAGUUCUUGUUGCUUUUGACAUAAAAGGGAAGAUAUAUGCUGGAUCAAGGUUGUUUUCUUCGAUUAUAUCCAACAAAUAUAGUUGUAAAAUUCAUCAUACAUGGAAGUUGAAUUAUAGUGAUUACUCGUAUAUGGUCAGACACCUGAAUUUCCAACUAGAAAAAUAGUAAAAACUUGUGUUGAGCCUAAGACAGUAAAUUACAAAGAUUCACAAUGACAUAACAACUAAAGCAAAAAAAAACAAUGUCCAAUGAUCACAAAGUAAAUUUGGGUCUUAUGUUUCUUAUAACAGAUAUGGUAGAAUGCAUCACCAAAUGCAAAAAUGCCUCUGAUAGAAGAUAUGAACUCACUUGAACUGCCAUCAGCAGCUCUCAAAUUAAAAACAAAUGUUCAUAGACCUGGAAGCUCUCAAAUUGCAUGCCAAGAUGGAUUUUGAAAAAAUAAUAAAUGAAUGAGCAAAGGAAUAGAACUUCCAAACAAUGAUUUGGAAGUUCAACUUCAUGCCAGAAAAACAGAGCCAAAUGCAAUUGUACUAAACAAAUACAACUUCAGCAGCCUCACACUUUCCUGGUCUUUUUAACCUUUUCUUGUUUUCUUUCUUCUAAAUAAAAGAAAAAAAAAAAGAAAUACAGAAAAACCUAUUAAGAUUAGGGCAUUCUUUAUGGAAAGAUAAAAAUAUAAAAACAUACUGAUUAAGUUAAAGCUGUUACUGAUAGACUAGCCAAUUAAGGAAUAUCACACAAUAAAAGUUCAAAAUGAUGCAUGCAGUAAAUUAGGAGAAAGAAGAAAAAAGAAUUAAGCAAUUGAGCUAUUACACUAAAAAGAAAUGCGAAAAUAAACUCCACUGAAAGGCCUCAAUAAUGUUCAUGAAAGAACUUUUAAAACAAAAAAUAUAUAGUAAAUAAAGAUAUACAUUAUAGACAAAACUCAAAAGUAUACGAAAUGAAAC
RNAcentral lists this long non-coding RNA (1366 nucleotides) under Theobroma cacao (cacao). RNAcentral describes it as "long non-coding RNA (TCAC_LNC005717)". The record is from RNAcentral. Lineage: Eukaryota; Viridiplantae; Streptophyta; Magnoliopsida; Malvales; Malvaceae.